GCUGCUGCUGCUGCUGCUGUUGCUGUUGCUGCUGCUGAUGUUGUUGCUGCUGCUGCUGCAGCUGGUGCUGCAGAUGUUGCUGCUGUUGUUGCAGCA
This 96-nucleotide small RNA is filed under the name Drosophila guanche. Lineage: Eukaryota; Metazoa; Arthropoda; Insecta; Diptera; Drosophilidae. The record is from RNAcentral.